CAGGAAACGUCUAAAACGAGUAGCCCGGGACCAAGUGCCGUAACUCACCAGCAGGACGAAACAAAGCCAGCAGAAGCCUCCCCAGCACACGCACGCACAGACACACGCACACACACCAAGUUUCAGCCAGCAAAUCUCUUUAUCCCAUGGCUGAGCAUCGACAGCGGAAAAGUCCUGCUGCCAUCGUCAUCCCCGGCUGAGGUGCGAUGCAGAUCCCAACUGGAAAAGACCUGUGCCCCCUGGACAUGUGUGAAGAAAAUACUCGUCUCGCGGGGAUCGCGAGUAACUGAUGUCCUAACACCUGAGGCGGAACUUCCUCUUGCACCCACACAAAGGUUGGAUUUUGUGUGCAAACCACUGCCUGGAAAGUCAAAUCUCCCUUUCAAAGGUUCCUCUGUAUCACAUCUGCAUGCAAGAAAGGGUCACUGCUGCUGUUCACUUUCCAAGGCCACAUUGUAUCAGGCAAACAGCUUUCAUCCAAAAGAUUCAUCAGGUAAACAGCCUGUGUUUAAACUGUGGGAUUGAAGAACAGAGAUGAAAAGAAAGGCUGCUUUCACACUUGCUGCAGGGAAGAGUGUCCGAUGUGGGCUUUGUAUCUGCGUCCAAGACAAUGGUGCUUCUGUGCAUCUUCUACAAGUCAUGUUAUAGAACAAUUUUACUUCAGAUCACCGAUGUCUAUGUGAAGAGGAAACUAACCUGCAGGGCUUUAAAAUCUAUUCCUCUUCAACAAAUAGCAACACUAACAGAUAGAGAUCCAAAUGACCCAUGUUCUGAUUCUGUUUGCUCAGAAAUUCUGAUAUUUCUAUGAUGCUGUAUUGAGAUAAACUAUAUCCAGGAUCACUUCAUCGGUAAUUUUUUUAGUAACACUAAAAACCUGCUGGUAUGGAUUUGAUUUCUGAGGGAAACUGUUUAUUCUCUGCUAAGGAAACCGAUGAGGUAUCAGGUUUUCUGUCUGAUAUCACUGUCUCUUCCAAGACAGGAAAAAAAAUAGUCCGUUCAUUA
Grus americana (Whooping crane) is the source of this 1002-nucleotide long non-coding RNA. RefSeq lists it as uncharacterized. The transcript has 3 exons. Lineage: Eukaryota; Metazoa; Chordata; Aves; Gruiformes; Gruidae. The record is from RefSeq and is a predicted model, not a curated record.